AUGGGGGGGUGGGAGGGCAGGACCACCAGGACCCCCCCCAUUUGCAGCCCCCUCCUCACCCCACACUUACGAUCAGCAGGAUCUGGCCAGUCCUCUCCACUGCCGAGCAGUCCUGGGGGGGGGACAAAGCACAGGGCUGAGUGGGACGGAUCAGCCCCCCCCUUUUCCAGCCAGGGGGGACCCCAAAGGGAGCUCCCCCUCACCCUAUUUCUCCUCCCCCCCCCCAUUGCUCAGAGGUUUGGGGGCACGGGACAGUGCACCCCGAGCACCCACCGCCUGCAGCACCUCCGCCAGCCGGGCGCAGAGCAGGACGAUGUCCCUGCUGGCCGAAAAGUCGUUCAGGGUGGAGAAAAGGUACCUGGGGAGCAGGGCGGAGAGCUCAGUGCCAACCUCGGGGUGCACCCAGCACCCAUGGGUGCCCCCCUUGCCCGCCCCGCACCUGUUGAGCCAGGAGAAGAGCCCCUUGGCGGCCCCGAUCAGCUCCACCACGCAGGCCAGCAGGGAGAAGGGGGGCGGCUGGGGGGUGACACCCCCGGGCGGCCCCUCCAGCACCAGGGUCUGGGUGCGCAGCGCCAGGUCCCGCAGCCCCUCCGUCAGCGUCCGCAGGCUGGUGCUCGCCAGCUCCGUGUCCUGCAAUGGGGAGCGGGGACGUGGCCGGGGUGGGGAAUGGGGGGGGCAGGAUGCAGAUCAGGGGGCUCCAAGACCCCGCGUCCCCCUCUCCGUUCAGCCCUGAGGGUCCCCGUGUCCCCCUGCUCCAUCCAGCCCUGGAUAACCCCCUUGUGGCUCAUCCAGCCUAGGGUGUCUCCACGUGUCCCCCCAAAAACCCUCCAUCCAUGCCCCCAUGUCCCCCCUCAUUCACCCCAGGGUGCCCCCAUGUCCCCCCUCCAUCCAGCCCAGGGUGCCCCCAUGUUCCCCAAGGGUGCCCCCAUGUCCUCCCUCCAUCCCCCCCAGGGUAACCCCAAAUCUCCGCCCCAUCCCCUCCAGAGUAACCCCAAAUCCCCCCUCCAUCCUCCCCAGCUCCCAAAUCUCCCCAGGAUAACCCCAAAUCCCCCCUCCAUCCCCCCCAGGGUGCCCCCAUGUCCCCCCUUCCCCCCUCCCAGCUUACCCCCACCCUCCCUCCCUUCCACCCAGCCCUCACCCCAGCAGCACCCAUGGGUGCCCCGGGCUCACCAGGGCUCGAAGCUGCUCCACGGCGUCCAGCAGCAGCUCCUGGUGCCCCACGCGCCGCACGCCCAGCGCCUCCAGGCCCCCCACCGACAGCCCCAGCAGCUCGGUGCCCGCCAGCCCCCAGGCCUCGAAGGGGUACCCCUGCACCGCCGCGUCCAGCCCUGCCCCAAAAAAAACACCCCUAGAGCCAGGCGGAUGGGGUGGGGGGGGGGACCAUGGGGGGCUCUGAGCCCCUGGCUCGGUGACCCCCGUGUCACUCAUUUGGGGGUGACGCCUGGCUAUAGGGAGGGUGCCAUCCGUGCAAUGAGCCCGCCAGGUCUCAGCACCAUGACCUGGGUGUGGACACACACACACAGCCCCUUCCCCACCCCCCCAACCCCAAAUAUCACCCCCCCAGGGAUCAUUUUGGGGGAAUCUCUGCCCCAGUGCUGUCCCCAAAGCAGAGCCACCCCCCUCCUCCUCCCCACCCGCCCCACUGGGGUCCCCCCCAUGGGGUUUGGGGCACCCCAAGCUGGCUGUGGGGGGUGGGUUUUAGGGUUUUGGGGUCUCACCUCGCAGCCAGGCCGCCACCUGUGCAGGGCCCCAGGCGCCCACGGGCUCCAUGGCGGCGGCAGGGCCGGAACCAGCUCACGGCCCCGCCACAAACCUGCGCCAGGUCAGGCCGGCCCCAUUGGCGCGCCCGGGUGCCGCUCACCGAGGCCUCCCUCCCUCCCUCCGCUCCCUCUCUCCCAGUACGGCCCAGUACGGCCCCAGUACGGCCCAGCAGGGGCGAGGCAGCCGCGACGCGCCCUGCGUGACUCACAACCCCGAGCGGCCGUCGAAACGCCCUGCGGGGAACGAUGGCGAACCCAGCUCGGGGGGGCCCCAAUCUCCAUUUUCUGA
This 2049-nucleotide long non-coding RNA is filed under the name Anas platyrhynchos platyrhynchos (common mallard). RNAcentral's name for it is "lncRNA (ENSAPLG00000029458.1)". Lineage: Eukaryota; Metazoa; Chordata; Aves; Anseriformes; Anatidae. The record is from RNAcentral.